GCAAACUUGGUCAUUUAGAGGAAGUAAAAGUCGUAACAAGGUUUCCGUAGGUGAACCUGCGGAAGGAUCACUAAAGAUUUAGUCCAAUAACUCUAAAUCCUACUCACCUCGUGUGCAACCUUUAGCAAGUUUGAUAUCCUUGGAGAGAUCAUCUUGCGUGAACUCUCCAAGGAGGUUAUCACGAUCAAUGUAUUUUUUCUUUACUUUUCUAUGUCUAAAUAAAUAAAUGUAAUUGAAACAACUUUCAACAACGGAUCUCUUGGCUCUCGCAUCGAUGAAGAACGCAGC
Molecule: unclassified non-coding RNA, 288 nt
Filed under: uncultured fungus
Lineage: Eukaryota; Fungi
Description: partial contains small subunit ribosomal RNA, internal transcribed spacer 1, and 5.8S ribosomal RNA
Rfam family: Eukaryotic small subunit ribosomal RNA (bases 1-73)
Source: RNAcentral